This 387-nucleotide ribosomal RNA is filed under the name uncultured Proteiniphilum sp. Its description in RNAcentral is "bacterial SSU rRNA". It matches the Rfam family "Bacterial small subunit ribosomal RNA", at positions 993 to 1382 of the family's 1533-position model. Lineage: Bacteria; Pseudomonadati; Bacteroidota; Bacteroidia; Bacteroidales; Dysgonomonadaceae. The record is from RNAcentral.
GACCGGCCUUGAAAGAGGCACUCCCUUCGGGCAGAUGUGUAGGUGCUGCAUGGUUGUCGUCAGCUCGUGCCGUGAGGUGUCGGCUUAAGUGCCAUAACGAGCGCAACCCUCAUCAUUAGUUACCAUCAGGUAAGGCUGGGGACUCUAAUGAGACUGCCAUCGUAAGAUGUGAGGAAGGUGGGGAUGACGUCAAAUCAGCACGGCCCUUACGUCCGGGGCGACACACGUGUUACAAUGGGUGGUACAAAGGGCAGCUACCUGGCGACAGGAUGCUAAUCUCGAAAACCGCUCUCAGUUCGGAUCGGAGUCUGCAACUCGACUCCGUGAAGCUGGAUUCGCUAGUAAUCGCGCAUCAGCCACGGCGCGGUGAAUACGUUCCCGGGCCUU